GGGGAUUUAGCUCAGUGGCAUAAAGUGCCUGCCUUGCAAGCAUGCAGUCAUGAGUUUGGUUCAAUCCCCA
Molecule: transfer RNA, 70 nt
Filed under: Cavia porcellus (domestic guinea pig)
Lineage: Eukaryota; Metazoa; Chordata; Mammalia; Rodentia; Caviidae
Rfam family: tRNA
About the family: Transfer RNA (tRNA) molecules are approximately 80 nucleotides in length. Their secondary structure includes four short double-helical elements and three loops (D, anti-codon, and T loops). Further hydrogen bonds mediate the characteristic L-shaped molecular structure. tRNAs have two regions of fundamental functional importance: the anti-codon, which is responsible for specific mRNA codon recognition, and the 3' end, to which the tRNAs corresponding amino acid is attached (by aminoacyl-tRNA synthetases). tRNAs cope with the degeneracy of the genetic code in two manners: having more than one tRNA (with a specific anti-codon) for a particular amino acid; and 'wobble' base-pairing, i.e. permitting non-standard base-pairing at the 3rd anti-codon position.
Source: Rfam by way of RNAcentral